Phyllostomus hastatus (greater spear-nosed bat) is the source of this 194-nucleotide small nuclear RNA. RefSeq annotates it as U2 spliceosomal RNA. NCBI's taxonomy places the organism in Eukaryota, Metazoa, Chordata, Mammalia, Chiroptera, Phyllostomidae. The record is from RefSeq and is a predicted model, not a curated record. The transcript has a single exon.
AUCGCUUCUCAGCCUUUUGGCUAAGAUCAAGUGUAGUAUCUGUUCUUAUCAGUUUAAAUUGCGAAAGUGUGUGUGUGUAUUUAAUACUGAAGGUGGGGGUAAGGAAGUUUCCCAGUAUAAUCCACCUGGAAACAUCAGCAGGUUUGGUGUUGCCUAAAAGUUGGGAGUUGUUUUAAUAUUUUUCUUAACCAAGU